UGCAAUGAUGGUGUAAUUUGCGUCUUACCUGUUAUUCAGUGACGGUUGCCUGCUGUCAUUAAGCUGGUGCCGAGGGCUGACGAUAAAACAAGUCUGAGCAUU
This 102-nucleotide small nucleolar RNA is filed under the name Xenopus laevis (African clawed frog). RNAcentral describes it as "U16 small nucleolar RNA". It matches the Rfam family "Small nucleolar RNA SNORD16". From Rfam's summary of the family: U16 is a member of the C/D class of snoRNA which contain the C (UGAUGA) and D (CUGA) box motifs. Lineage: Eukaryota; Metazoa; Chordata; Amphibia; Anura; Pipidae. The record is from RNAcentral.